GAACUGAAGAUAUUUUCGACUGUCCUAUCUGUUGCGCUUCAAUUGAUUGUUUUAUGGUGUUUACAUGUGGCCAUCGAAUUUGUCAAAACUGCUUCGAAAAAAUGAGAGCUCUUCAAAGAAGGUUUGUGGAAUUUCUGUAUCAUCAUCACCCAGACGCAAAGUUUUGCGAAUUUUUCUUGAACCGAAAAUACUGUAGCCGGUCUCGAGGGGAAUGUUUGUUAAAUACAAAGAGGUGCGGACCUUUAAAGAGUACUGUAUUUUCAACCAAUUGUUGCUCUGGAAAUUGCAUCGAUUUUUUAUAGUUUUUGUUAGAAAUAUAUGUAUUUAUUCGAAAAACAAACAAAAAUAUACUGUAAUUUCAAACUUUGGAAUUUAUAUCAAUUCUUAAUUUUAAAGUUUUCACCACGAGUUUUCGAAACUUAAAAAAGUAUUAUAUAAUAUUUGAAUUUUUCUAAUAGUAAUAUUUCUAUCUAAAAACUUUUUAAAAAAUUGAUAACUUUUUAAAGGCGCACACCUUUUUGUAUUUAACACAAAUUCGUAGCGUCGAGACCAGCUAUCGUCUCUGUAAUAAUUUUACAAUUUUCCAAAUAAUUCAAAACUUUUAUAGAGCUGGUUCUGCUGAAGAUGUGGUCGCAUGUCCUACUUGUCGUGUAGUGAACAGGUCAAAACAAGUUAUGGUGGCACAAUCUGGACAUGUUCAAGAUAAAUCGGCUAUUCCUGGAAUCAUAUUGUCUGCGAAGGUACAUAAGGUUCAAUUGCCAAUAAUAUUUUUUAGAAUAUUCUAGAUGUCGGAGGCUAUUAUAUUGAUGCGAGAGAUUCUAGCAGCUGACCCACUAAACAAAAUCAUUUUAUUCACAACUAUUGAACAGACAUCCACACAAGUAUGGGAAUAUCUAACAAAGAUUCUCAAACUUGCCAACCUGCCAUUCAUUGCACCAACACGAGCUACUUGUGGAAAGAAAGUCUUCGAUUUUGAUGUAUCGGAAGAUACAAAGGUAUUUCUAUUUAGAUGUACUUUUUCCUAUAUUCUUCAAAUUUGCAGGUUCUUCUAUGUUCCCUAUCACUUUGUGCAAAUGGUCUUAAUAUGACCGGAGCCAAUCAUAUCAUCUUUUUGGAUCCACCACAUCUUCAAUCUGUUCUGAAUCAGGCCAUCGGUAGAAUUAAUCGAUUCGGACAGAAAAGAGACAUGAAUGUAUAUCAUUUGUUAGUUGACGGCAGUCUGGACAUUGAAUUAAGAGAAACUGCCAAAAAGACAUAUCGUAGAGAAGACGAACGUGAGUUAUUUCUCUAUUGGCUAUGUUAACGAUAGAUUUUUCAGAAAAAGGAUGGACCAUUGGCGACAUUCGUAGUAUGUUUGGAAUCAAUUAUUAUCCAGUGCAGGCGAAUAUUCGAGCCAUAGUUGGCAAUGUUGAUGGAAACUUUCACAGAAUGCAAGAAUUCUUCCGCAACAACAUUGUUAGAAGAGCCAUUCCAUAAAUCCACGGUUUUUUAUUCUUGUUAACAUGUUUAUUGUUCCCCCGACAUUUCCACAUUUUUUUGCUUUAACUAAUUAAUUUUUUGACACAAACCAAAGUUUCACCCUGUUACCUCGUUUCAAUUGUUGCCACUAAAUCGCUCUCUCCAGCCCCACAGAUCAUCAUUUCACUGCAUUCAAAUUUGACUGAUCUGCUUUACCAAAAAUCGAUCUUUCAAUGAAAUGUUUUUCAACAAAAAAAAAGAACAACUAAUUUAUUUUCGCUUUUUCACACUUUUCAGGUUUGCAUUCUAAUACAUUACGCUGUAAUGUGUUCGCAUUCUAAUUUGAUAUAAAUUUUUAAAAUUUCAAAGAAAAACUAAAAACUUGAAAAAGCGUCAGUAUGUUUCAAGGUUUUAAUCCAGAUUUUUGUGAGGAGAUCAGGUCAGUUAACAUGAAAUAACAUUGCUGAUACUCAGAUUAGUCUGAAAAAAUAUAUUACGCUGUAAUGUGUUUAUUUGAUUUGAUUUAUUUUUCCAACAUUAAGAGCCAAAAGGUAAUACAUUAAAAGGUAGUACAAUUUAAGGUUUAAUGAGAAAAUAAAAUUUAUAAAACGAGACAAACCCAGCAAGAGUUCAUCUCGAGUGUGGGAAAUGGGUAAGGUAAGAAUUAGAAAACAGAAAACAAGAAGAAUAGAGAAUGAAGAAUUAUAAAGAAAAGAGAAUGGACUCGAGAUCACAUAGUUUCAAUACCGGGGAAUGUGAAGAUCGAGAAAGUGAGAAAAUUGGAAAGGAGAGAGGAAAACCGGGACGUUUUUGAAAAGAUUAUUCCAAAUGGGAACUGAUUGGGCGAAAAAGUGAGCGGUGCAACUGUCCUUUCUAACGAGAAUCAUAGGGUGCCUAUUAGAGCUAGCAAAUGGGACAAAUUGAUUAAGACUAGGGAAGUGGGAUGAUCCAGUGAGGAAUCUAUAGAGUAGUUUCAUUUGAGCUUUGACAGGAGAGAGACCAUUACAGAUCGUCUCCUAUAGAGGGCUGCCGGCAGGGGGGCGUUGUGGACCUGUGGGAAGAAGGGAAGAAGUGGGGAGACGACCGCACGGGCUGUAUGUAAAUGGGUACCUGGCCGUAAUCUCAAAAACGAGCACAGUAAAGUAUAUUUUUAGUUAAUUUCCUGAAAGAAAACAGUAAAAAAGAUUUUUUAGUGCAAUUAAACAAAUCUUUGGAUAUAGUUUUAUUUAGAAACUUUUCAUUUUACCAAGAUUUUUUGAUUUAGUACUGAAUUUCAUUGAUUUCUAUUAAGUUCUUCGAAUAAUUUAAAAUGCCUUAAGUACAGGCUCUGUGAGUAGUUAUGUUAAGUAAUUUAAUUCGACACAUUUGAACAAAUUCGGACAGAAACAACUUUUUUGCUCAAUUUUCUCAAAUAGAAUUUCGAAAAAAAAAUUGAAAAAAUUGAAUUUGAAUUUUGAUGAAACCUUUUUGAAAUCAGUUAAUUGGUAUGUUUCCCAUAUACCAAACCCAUUCAAAAUCUACGAUUGUUAUUGAGAAUUUGCAAAAAUUGAAGCAUUUUCAGUUCAUACAGUAGUUAUAAUAUGAAAACUGUUACAUCUCAAAGAAAAAACAUUUGUUUGAAAAAAAUAUCAAAAACCUUUUUAAUUUUAUUUUCAGAAAAAAAAUUAAAUUUCCAAUCAAAUUCCUGUAGCUAAUCAGGCUCUAAAGUUUCGUCAGUCUUGACCAGAGGUGCCCUUUUACAGACCGUGGUCCGUAAUUGUGCAUGAGAGGCCGCUGUAGAGACAGCCGCACGCUGUUGUAAUAGAAGAAACGGCGGAACUUAUGUUUUGAUACCUUGAGAAUUUGGAAAUUUCUACGGAUUUUCAAAACGUUUUCAAAACUAUCGGAAAUCACCAAAAAAACUUUCAAAAAAUGUUGAAAUCUAUUUAGUUUGGGGAUUUGAAAACUUUUAACUUAGUUUUUUGUUAGAAAUAUAUUUAUUUAUUAGAAAAACUCAAAAACUGAAGGCAUGAAUUUCGAGAAACGAACAAAAAUAUGCUGUAAUUUCUGUGGAAUUUAUAUCGAUGUUUUGGAACUUAUGUUUUUAGUUUUAUAUUUGAGUUUUUCUAAUAAUAAUAUUUCUAUCGAAAAACUAUGAAAAAAUCGAUGAAGUUUCCAGAGCAACAAUUACAGUACUCUUUAAAGACGCACAACUUUUCGCAUUUAAGCCAAAUUCGUCGUGUCGAGACCAGCUACCUUUUUUUUUUUGCAAAAUCGCAUCGUCUCUGUAAUAAUUUUGCAAUAUUCCAAAUAAUUAAAAAAUUUUAUAGUAGCAAAUUCAAAAAGUACUACGAAGCUCAGAUUAAAGUUGUUAUUGAAUCCGUUAGUAACGACGUUAAAGAACUUCGUUAUCUUAUGAAUUUGAUGAAGAAACAAUUGGACGGAGA
Molecule: small RNA, 3884 nt
Filed under: Caenorhabditis elegans
Lineage: Eukaryota; Metazoa; Nematoda; Chromadorea; Rhabditida; Rhabditidae
Description: Unclassified non-coding RNA T22D1.23
Source: RNAcentral